This 2199-nucleotide ribosomal RNA is filed under the name Escherichia coli. RNAcentral's name for it is "partial 23S ribosomal RNA". It matches the Rfam family "Bacterial large subunit ribosomal RNA", at positions 614 to 2798 of the family's 2925-position model. The record is from RNAcentral. Lineage: Bacteria; Pseudomonadati; Pseudomonadota; Gammaproteobacteria; Enterobacterales; Enterobacteriaceae.
AAUGGGUCAGCGACUUAUAUUCUGUAGCAAGGUUAACCGAAUAGGGGAGCCGAAGGGAAACCGAGUCUUAACUGGGCGUUAAGUUGCAGGGUAUAGACCCGAAACCCGGUGAUCUAGCCAUGGGCAGGUUGAAGGUUGGGUAACACUAACUGGAGGACCGAACCGACUAAUGUUGAAAAAUUAGCGGAUGACUUGUGGCUGGGGGUGAAAGGCCAAUCAAACCGGGAGAUAGCUGGUUCUCCCCGAAAGCUAUUUAGGUAGCGCCUCGUGAACUCAUCUCCGGGGGUAGAGCACUGUUUCGGCAAGGGGGUCAUCCCGACUUACCAACCCGAUGCAAACUGCGAAUACCGGAGAAUGUUAUCACGGGAGACACACGGCGGGUGCUAACGUCCGUCGUGAAGAGGGAAACAACCCAGACCGCCAGCUAAGGUCCCAAAGUCAUGGUUAAGUGGGAAACGAUGUGGGAAGGCCCAGACAGCCAGGAUGUUGGCUUAGAAGCAGCCAUCAUUUAAAGAAAGCGUAAUAGCUCACUGGUCGAGUCGGCCUGCGCGGAAGAUGUAACGGGGCUAAACCAUGCACCGAAGCUGCGGCAGCGACGCUUAUGCGUUGUUGGGUAGGGGAGCGUUCUGUAAGCCUGUGAAGGUGUGCUGUGAGGCAUGCUGGAGGUAUCAGAAGUGCGAAUGCUGACAUAAGUAACGAUAAAGCGGGUGAAAAGCCCGCUCGCCGGAAGACCAAGGGUUCCUGUCCAACGUUAAUCGGGGCAGGGUGAGUCGACCCCUAAGGCGAGGCCGAAAGGCGUAGUCGAUGGGAAACAGGUUAAUAUUCCUGUACUUGGUGUUACUGCGAAGGGGGGACGGAGAAGGCUAUGUUGGCCGGGCGACGGUUGUCCCGGUUUAAGCGUGUAGGCUGGUUUUCCAGGCAAAUCCGGAAAAUCAAGGCUGAGGCGUGAUGACGAGGCACUACGGUGCUGAAGCAACAAAUGCCCUGCUUCCAGGAAAAGCCUCUAAGCAUCAGGUAACAUCAAAUCGUACCCCAAACCGACACAGGUGGUCAGGUAGAGAAUACCAAGGCGCUUGAGAGAACUCGGGUGAAGGAACUAGGCAAAAUGGUGCCGUAACUUCGGGAGAAGGCACGCUGAUAUGUAGGUGAAGUCCCUCGCGGAUGGAGCUGAAAUCAGUCGAAGAUACCAGCUGGCUGCAACUGUUUAUUAAAAACACAGCACUGUGCAAACACGAAAGUGGACGUAUACGGUGUGACGCCUGCCCGGUGCCGGAAGGUUAAUUGAUGGGGUCAGCGCAAGCGAAGCUCUUGAUCGAAGCCCCGGUAAACGGCGGCCGUAACUAUAACGGUCCUAAGGUAGCGAAAUUCCUUGUCGGGUAAGUUCCGACCUGCACGAAUGGCGUAAUGAUGGCCAGGCUGUCUCCACCCGAGACUCAGUGAAAUUGAACUCGCUGUGAAGAUGCAGUGUACCCGCGGCAAGACGGAAAGACCCCGUGAACCUUUACUAUAGCUUGACACUGAACAUUGAGCCUUGAUGUGUAGGAUAGGUGGGAGGCUUAGAAGUGUGGACGCCAGUCUGCAUGGAGCCGACCUUGAAAUACCACCCUUUAAUGUUUGAUGUUCUAACGUUGACCCGUAAUCCGGGUUGCGGACAGUGUCUGGUGGGUAGUUUGACUGGGGCGGUCUCCUCCUAAAGAGUAACGGAGGAGCACGAAGGUUGGCUAAUCCUGGUCGGACAUCAGGAGGUUAGUGCAAUGGCAUAAGCCAGCUUGACUGCGAGCGUGACGGCGCGAGCAGGUGCGAAAGCAGGUCAUAGUGAUCCGGUGGUUCUGAAUGGAAGGGCCAUCGCUCAACGGAUAAAAGGUACUCCGGGGAUAACAGGCUGAUACCGCCCAAGAGUUCAUAUCGACGGCGGUGUUUGGCACCUCGAUGUCGGCUCAUCACAUCCUGGGGCUGAAGUAGGUCCCAAGGGUAUGGCUGUUCGCCAUUUAAAGUGGUACGCGAGCUGGGUUUAGAACGUCGUGAGACAGUUCGGUCCCUAUCUGCCGUGGGCGCUGGAGAACUGAGGGGGGCUGCUCCUAGUACGAGAGGACCGGAGUGGACGCAUCACUGGUGUUCGGGUUGUCAUGCCAAUGGCACUGCCCGGUAGCUAAAUGCGGAAGAGAUAAGUGCUGAAAGCAUCUAAGCACGAAACUUGCC